Molecule: long non-coding RNA, 3358 nt
Filed under: Homo sapiens (human)
Lineage: Eukaryota; Metazoa; Chordata; Mammalia; Primates; Hominidae
Description: HSALNT0139026
Source: RNAcentral
UGAAAUGACACGCAUGCUCUUGCCCUCUUGACAUGUGAUGUCCUUUGCCAUGUUAUGAUGCUGACAGAAGCCCCUCAUCAGAUGCUGGUGCCAUUCUCUUGGGCUUCCGAGCCUCCAGAACUGCAAAAUGCAAAAAAACACAACUUUCUGAGAAAGUCUGAAGCUGGUCUUCUGCAGGCACACGAAGCCAUCAAAAUCAAAGUUAUCUCAAGUAAUCUUGAAGUCAGUCUAUUGGUAUCAAGUAGAGUCUUCAAAAACUAAACUUCCUGGAACAUUCUUCUGUCCAUAAUGCCCCAGAACUUGCCAGUCAAGAUGAAAAACUUCUUCUAAUGGAAUCCAGCUUGAAAGCUACUCAAGAGCAGCUAACUGAGCAAAUAGCAGAAACAGUUCGCCAAGAACAGAACAGUAGAAAACCCCAGGCAGAGCUGAAGACAGUGACAGAAGGGAUUAUUGCUUCUGAAGAAGAAAAAAAAUGAUUACAAGAAAAUAAAUACGAGCCUCAGCAUGUCGAUUCUGUACAGAUUUGCAAGUGUAGACCAAGGACUAUUAGCACAAAUGACAAGAAAUAUCUAAGAAAAUCUCAUGAAUGUUCAUUAAGAAACAUGGUCACAUAGGUCUUCUCAUCUUUUGAAUAAAUAAAGCAUAUGAAAAACUGAUAUGUCAGCCACACGAGUCAACAACACUCUAACCAGAAAAACUGUAUAUAGCCUUCGCAUGUACUGAUUACACAAAACAAAUACUACCAAAAUUUGCAUGUGACUAGUAUGUAAACAUUUUAUCGGUUUUUCUUUUCCAAAUGACAUAAUUACAUUGUAUUUUGAAACCAGAUUAAAGUAUAUUACCCAUGAUGGUAUCUUUGCAAAAACAGUUGUCUUAAAUUGGAUUCUGAGAUAGAGAGUUGUGUGUAGGUCUGUAGGGAGUGUUCUUGGGAAAUACAGGAAGGUGGGACUGGGGAGGGGUGGGUCCAGCUAACUCCAAUCUUGAUGCCACAAAAGCAUCAACUGAUCCCUAGAGGAGCUCUGGAGAUGUCUCAAAUUGAGGAAAAGAGACACAGCCAUUAUAUCUCCAUGUCAGCCAGGCUUUGGCUCCUGAAAGGGGUCAUAAUCUUGCAUGAUUCCCAGUGAGGGGUCUCAAAUGGGAGACGUCAGCCAUUUAUGAACAUUCCUAGCAGCUGGAGGAUGGAUGCUGAUCCCUACAGAGGGGAUUUGGUGGAGCACUACAUUGUUCUCUAUAAUCAUACACCAUUAUGAAAUAUAUAAUCUAAUUUAGAGGAAAUUCUGUCACUUCAAAUGCAAAUUCAUUGCACAUAUCAACUUUUUUUAAUCUUCAAAGUGCAUGUCUCAUUUACUUAGAUUUCUACCAUAAAAAGAUUUGUCUAAAAAUGUUAACUAUUAAACACUCUCACCUAUUAGUAAUAAAACAACUUAGGAAAUUAAUAAUUAAGAAAUAAAACAGAUGCUAAAUGGACAAAACAGAUAGCAUAAUAACAAAAAUGUAAAGGAGCAGACAAUUUCAUAAAGUGCUUUCACUUAAUAAAAUAUUAUUUCAUUUGGUACUCAAACAAAAUACAGAAUUUAUAUAGUAAUUUCCAUUUUGAUAAUGAAGACAUUGAAGCACAAGAAGAUAAGGCAACUUAACCAAGGUAAGUGACAGGAACUUGAAUUAAACCAUCUAUUUUGAUAUCAGAUAACCAUGGGAAGUAAUAAUUCCUUUGAUACAUAGUAUUGAGGCAGAGGCAGGGCCAGUUGUAUCAGGAGCCAAAUCUCUAAGUUUCUAGGUAGUGUGUUUCAACCUGUUGAAUGUGAACACAUUUUUAAUGAAUGCAUAUUCAGCUUAAAUGUGAAAACCAUAAAAUCUAAGUCUAUCAAUAUUUUUUAAAAUGUCUUAAAUAUCAACUAGAUAAUAUUAAAAUUUCACAUUAAGGUAAGUUUGAUUUUUUUCAAAAUCAAUAAAUUUUUCAGUCCCAAAUUCUUAAAGACAGUUAUGUCCAGUUAGCAGUAAGUUGAUUAUUAUCAUAGACUUCAAAAUGCUAACAACUACUAUAAGUAUCUACUAGGUAACACUGGCUGUUAUAGGCAUUGGAAAAACAGCGAUUAAAAAAAGGAGUACCAAUUUCUCUUAUAGAAUUUAUAUCCUAGUGAUAAAAAUAGAAAUGGAGAAGCUAGCUCAUGUGAUUAUUUGAGAUGGUAGAAAGGGCUUUGAAACAGGAGUCCCCAAACCCUUCUGUCCAUUACUGGCCCGUAUCCUGUUAGGAACCGGGCCACACAGUAGGAGGUGAGCAGUGGGCAAGAGAGCAUUACCAUCUGAGCUCCACCUGCUGUCAGAUCAGCAGCAGCAUUAGAUUCUCAUAAGAGCAGGAACCCUAUUGUGAACUGGGCAUGCGAGGGAUGUAGGUUGUGCGCCUCUUAUGAGAAUCUAAUGCCUGAUGAUCUGAGGUAGAACAGUUUCAUCCCCAAACCACCCCCCUCGCCAAAAUUAUCUUCCAUGAAACUGGUUCCUGAUGCCAAAAAGUUUGGGGACCCCUGCUUUGAAGGACAAAAAAUGACAAAAUAGAGUAGGUUGAGGAAGUGCUUUAUUUUCCCUCUGAAAAGUAAAUAGUUCAAUUGGACCCAAGUGAUGAGAAUUUGCUGACCAUUCAGAGUUCUAGGGGAAGAAUAUUCUAGACAGAACAAGCAAGUACAAAUUCUUUAUAUGGGGAUGAAGUUGAUGUUCUAGGAAAGUUUGAUUGAAUGGUUGCAGCCUUUAAUGAGAGGCUGGUGCUGGAGAUGUAGCUUGGGAAGUAAACAAAGGCCAAAUCAGGUUGAGUCUUGUGGACCGUUUGAGAAAAAGAGUUCGUUUUGUAUUCCAAUUCCAAUGAGAAGCCAUUGGACUUAAGCACGGAAAUAAUAUAAUUUGAUAAUUCUCUUUGAAAUAUUACUUUACUUGCUUAUUGGAGACUGUGUUAAGGGAGUGCAAAACUUUUUGAUGUACUGAUUACGUGAAACCUAAAGUCUUUUGUCAAUGAUGUAUUUGAUUAACAUUUAUUUUCUGAUACAUUGAUCAAAUUUAUACAAAGCAAAAUAAAAUUAGCAUAUAAACACAUAAACUUAUCCAUUCUACCACAACUCAAAUUAGAACAAAGUUAGAGUUAUGAAUUUUUGAUUAUUGUCUCUGUCUUCAUUAAAUGAAAACAUACUCUGUGGAACUUCUACUGGAGAAGAGUUCCACAUUGCCUAUAUCUUACGUACAUGGAGUUUCAUGGGAAAUUUUAUGGUAUAUUUAUGGCCAAUAUAUAAACAGGGAAAAAUUGUUUGCCAAAAUGUACUAAUAACUUUCAAAUUUCACAACAAAUAUUAUUAACAAACUGCAAAGCACCAGG